UACGAAGGGGCUAGCGUUGCUCGGAAUUACUGGGCGUAAAGCGCACGUAGGCGGCUUUCUAAGUCGGGGGUGAAAUCCUGGAGCUCAACUCCAGAACUGCCUUCGAUACUGGAAAGCUCGAGUCCGGGAGAGGUGAGUGGAACUGCGAGUGUAGAGGUGAAAUUCGUAGAUAUUCGCAAGAACACCAGUGGCGAAGGCGGCUCACUGGCCCGGUACUGACGCUGAGGUGCGAAAGCGUGGGGAGCAAACAGGG
Molecule: ribosomal RNA, 253 nt
Filed under: uncultured bacterium
Lineage: Bacteria
Description: partial 16S ribosomal RNA
Rfam family: Bacterial small subunit ribosomal RNA
Source: RNAcentral